CUGAAACUCAGCGGCUGACCCACCUGUAGUUUCGACAGGAGAGAUAUGGUGAUAAUAGUGUCAUGGACUGGGCUGUUAAGUCAGAUAUUUAUGUUUAGAUAAGGGAAGACAAAGGACAAAAAUGGCUAAAUAUUUUGUAAAAUGGCUAUAUGUACAUUUGCACAGCAGCUUCGGGCGUCCGCAUUGCUUUGAGGCUAAUUUGCUAGUUAAAGCAGGAGGUUUCCUGAACAUUAGGAAGCCAAAUAAAGAUGGUCAAGCCUUUAGGGGUUUAUUGAUUUCACUGUGUUACACAGUAACCGAUAAGGUCAAAGUGAGCUGAGCUUAAUCUCAUCAAGGACAAGAGCUACGUUAUCUCAAAAAACAGGUAGUAGGAUGUACCGAUGACUAGAUUACUAACGGAGACUGCCCAUACAUUUAGAAUAUAGGCCAAACCACCGAUAUGUAACAGGAACCCACUGUUUUAGUCUUGUGACGUUGAACACUUGGAUUGUUACAAUGUAUAGAAAUGCUUCCGUCUACAGAGGCCUUCCAUUCAUUCAGAAGGGGACUGCAACUCUGGGACUUUGUAAAUGGUGGCUGCAGAAAUCUGGGUUAUUAAAAUGGGCCUGCAGGAUGAACCUACAUCCUCUUAAAACAGGAACACUAUAAAUAUGUAAAUGUGUUCUAGCUGUGACCAAUCGAGUAUUUCACGAUUAUUUCUCCGAAGCCCGGAGUUUACUUGUGUCUGCCACUUGGGGGAGCUAUUUUCCCACCAGUCCUGCAGUCGGACUACACCAAGAAGGAACUCAAAAGUUUUAGCUUUGGUACAACAAAAUUUAGAAUCUGCUGGGCAGCUACUGCACCGAGACAGUCAGACUGGAUGUCUGACAUAGCUGUUGUUACUGCUGCUAUUCACUGGAGGAAAUGGAGUUGACUGGGCUGUCGUUCACCUGUUGAUUUGCUGUGAGAGGUCAACAUGUCGGCCAUGUUGGAGUUCGCUCUGAGAUAUUUCAUGCCAGAGAACAUGCUAUUGACACCCCAAAACUUACCUUCUUCAGGAGCAGACAAGCAGGACGUUCAACUGUUGAAGGCCAGGGAGAGGAAAAAGGCCAUAGACAUUCUUCAACUCAAGAAUUCUGUGUCAGAACAUUUUUUCAUCAUUUUUCCCAGUUAUUUUCUCUCUUUACUGUCACAUGUAGGAAUUCAACUUGUUAGAUAA
RNAcentral lists this long non-coding RNA (1198 nucleotides) under Takifugu rubripes (torafugu). RNAcentral's name for it is "lncRNA (ENSTRUG00000031976.1)". Lineage: Eukaryota; Metazoa; Chordata; Actinopteri; Tetraodontiformes; Tetraodontidae. The record is from RNAcentral.